CAUGGUCCAAGAUGGACGAAACCUCGACAGAUGAAGAGUGUCAUGGUGUUGGAAAGCUAAAAGAAUGGAACCUGUUUAGAAUCAUUUUGGAAUGGAGAGCGAGUCUUCUCCAUCUAUAAAAAAGUCAGCUGGCUGCCGGCCGCCACUGUGCGGCAAGCUCCAGCUGCUUUGUGCCUGUAUGCUUUCGAAAUCACUUUUGGUCAUCUGGCAACAAAAGAAUGGGUAUAUUUAACAAACAUGAGCUGCUCAGGCAACACAAAGAGAUUGCUCAACAAAAGACAAGAAGACAAACAUCAUUUUUGAACAAAAGCAGCAUACGGCGCCACCUCAAAUGCGCCUUGAAAUGAAGUCAGAGAACUAUUUACUUGCAGAAAUUGUUCAAGAUGAGAAGGAGCACUCAGAGAAAAAGUGGACCGCUUUGUUCACCACAUGCUUGUCGAGUGUGAGCAAAAAGAUCCACCCAAGUCAUCUUCCCAGUUCUAUAUCAGCCACCAUUAUUCAUUUGUCCUUUGGAAGGUCAAUUGAUCUGGUUUGAGACUCUGGGAAAUGUUUCAACUGAUUGCUUGUGACACAUUCGUUCUCACACACACACGCGUGCCUGCGCACGCACACGCGCCCACGGUCACAAACCCUUCACUUUAUCAAGCCCGGAAGAUAAACAACUUUGGAUAGGCUGAGAGACAAGGUGGGGAUGUUAAAUGUGAGGCCCUUCACACAUGGCCUGUUAAGUGAUGCUGAAUAAGGGCAUCUGUCCUUCUCGGGAAGCUCCUGUGGCGUGCCAAACGUGCACGUGCGUACGUGCUUGUUUGCCCUUUACAAAAAAAAAAAAAAAAAACUCGCUGUGUCUGCAGUCUUUUUCUUUGUGACACAAUGCGCCAAUUAAUCAACAGUUUUGCUGCACUAAUCAUCACAUUGUGUUGGGUCGCACUUGAAACAAUAGUGGACAUAUAAUGAUGAGCUUCUUAUAGGUCACCAAAAUAUGUGAAGACACCAAAAAGCAUCACUUGUAAAAUCAAGGUACCGUAUUUUCCGGACUAUAAGG
This is a long non-coding RNA of Syngnathus acus (greater pipefish), 1042 nucleotides long. RefSeq lists it as uncharacterized. NCBI's taxonomy places the organism in Eukaryota, Metazoa, Chordata, Actinopteri, Syngnathiformes, Syngnathidae. The transcript is spliced from 4 exons. The record is from RefSeq and is a predicted model, not a curated record.